GACGAACGCUGGCGGCGUGCCUAACACAUGCAAGUCGAACGGCAAGACACUGAUAGUGUGCGGUGCCCGGGGGGCGAACGGGUGAGUAACAGGUGUAUAACCUGCUCUACUCUUUGGGAGAACUUAAGGAAACUGAGGUUAAUACAGGAUCGGAGACCACGUAGCGGGGAGAGCGUGGGAAAGUCGCGGCGGGUGUGGAUGGAUUCGCGGCUUAUCAGCUAGUUGGUGGGGUAGUGGCUGACCAAGGCUUUGACGGGUAGCCGACCGGAGAGGGUGACCGGCCACAUUGGUCCUGCGAUACGCCCCAGUGUCCUACGGUAGACAGCAGUGGGGAAUCUUGCCCAAUGAGCCCACGCCUGAUGCAGCGACGCCGCGUUCGUGAUGACGUUCUGUGGGUUGUAAACCGCAUCCGCCUGUUACGAAGCUUUAGUGACGGUACUGAGUGAAGAAGCACCGGCUAACUACGUG
This 468-nucleotide ribosomal RNA is filed under the name uncultured bacterium. RNAcentral describes it as "partial 16S ribosomal RNA". It matches the Rfam family "Bacterial small subunit ribosomal RNA", at positions 28 to 507 of the family's 1533-position model. The record is from RNAcentral.